AAGGAUACACAAAAGAAUGCCUAAAUCCCUAAAGGUUAGAGAAGCUUGAAAGUCAGCUGCCAUACGACCACCCAUCCUCCUCCUGCCCGUCCCCAUUUCCCUCACUCACCUGAACCACACUACUCUUCUUCUUCACGACGACCUGGGCGGACAGCCAUAGAAAAAGACCAGCUAUAGCCCAUCGCACAGCCAAACGACCGCCCUGAUCUCCCGUCACCUGUUCGUCCACCACCAUCCUAGACACACAACACACACAGACUCAGCCGUUCCUGUUCUUCUACUCAAAGGUGAGAGCCUAAGUUCUGUUCGUGGUGCUGUUCAAAUCCCCAUGUUUGUGAGGCUGUCCGGCCAAGCUCAGAUCUGGAAAAUGAUUUUGUGUUCGAGGCUGCUGGCUUGAUGUCGUCGUUCUGUUGCCGAGUUCAGUCCGAUCGAGUCUCAGUCGUCUUUGAAAAGUCGAGUUUGUUCCGAAGAGGUUUGGUCGAGUUCGUUGGGAUUCUGACGAAGCAGUUCAUUUUUUCGUUCGAGUUUUCUAGAUCCGAUGUCGAUUUAAGGUUCCGCAAUUUUGGCGGGUCAAGCUUAACAAAGGUCCGUUUCUUUGUUAAAUUUGGAUGUUCGUUUUACAGGUCAUCUUGUACUGGUUUGGGUUUGAGAUUCUGCCAUUUUGGAAAUUCACAUGUUAAUGUUAUUUAUCUUUGUUUUGUAUAGUUUGUUUGAGUUUGUUAUUUUGUGAUAUUUGUGUUGUUUAUAUUAACAUCGACCAACCCCAUUUUCAAUUAGAAGGUUGAGGAGAAGAGGGGAUGAGGACAAGAAGGGUCGCUCUGGCGGUAAGCAACCUCCAAUUCCAACCAAGAUGUUGUGAGUUCGAGUCUCCCCAAGAGUAAGGUGGGAAGUUCUUGGAGGGAAGGAUGCCGGGNNNNNNNNNNNNNNNNNNNNNNNNNNNNNNNNNNNNNNNNNNNNNNNNNNNNNNNNNNNNNNNNNNNNNNNNNNNNNNNNNNNNNNNNNNNNNNNNNNNNNNNNNNNNNNNNNNNNNNNNNNNNNNNNNNNNNNNNNAGUUCUUGGAGGGAAGGAUGCCGGGGGUCUAUUUGAAAACAACCUCUCUACCCAAGGGUAGGGGUAAGGUCUGCGUACACAGUACCCUCUCCAGACCCUACUAAGUAAGAUUAUACAUGGUUGUUGUUGUUGUUAUGUUAAGAUUGAGUAUGGAGAUGAAAUGGACAGAAAUGGAAAUUGAGGCUGCAUAAAAUUUGAAAACCGUUGAAUUCACUAAUUAUAUCAUUAGAGUAAUUUAGUUUGAUGCAUUUUUCAUGAUUAAAUUUGCCGGCGAGGUUCCAGCUACUGUUGCGUUUUUUGGUUCGAGUUUUGAGUUAGGUAGCUGGUCCAAGCUAAAAGAUCCAUCCUUUUAAUUGUGCCUGAACUUGAAAAUGUCCAGAUUUUAAAUGUAAUCAAUUAGGAUUAUUUUUCUUUUUUUAGAGGCAAAAACUAAAAUAGAAAAUAUAGUCGCUUUUAGGCUUACCCUUUAAAAUAAAAUGAGACGAUCCUCGCCCAAUAAAGGUUUAAAAAUACUUAAAAAAUCGGAAAGUUUCAUUUAGCAAAUUUCACGGCCCUCCCAAAAAAUAAUAACGCAUUAGACCCUUUUAGACGCUAUUUUAAUAAAAUUACAUUCCUAAAUAUGGGUGGGCAUUUUAUGCGGCCAAAAUCAAAAUCCUAAAAUGUUGAAUAGAGUGUGUCUAAGAUUGCGGGUUCAUUUCCUGCGGCGCAAUCAAAAAAUACAUUUUAAACGACGUUCACUUUCUCUUAAAUAAAUACGUAUUAAAUAAAAAUGGUUAAACAUAAAAUUGGCACAUAAGCUCUUCAUGUAUUAAAAUCAGAUUCUAGCCAUUCAUGGCAAUUUAAGCAACCGUGCUAGAACCACGGGAUCCGAGGGUGCCUAACACCUUCCCUCGAGUCAACAGAAUUCCUUAUUCAAAAUUUUUGGUUCGCACACUCCACUCGAAAGUCGAAGUUUUCCUCGAUUCGGGAUUCAAAAUAAAUUUGUGACUUGGGACACCAAGAGCCAAACUUAUCCCAAGUGGCGACUCUGAAUAAAUAAUCUCGGUCCAAAUAACGUCACUUUAAAUUGAAAAACUCCCUUAUACAUAAUCCUUCGGGAUAGAUGUGUAAAAAGGAGGUGACAUAAGGAUAAUGUUGAACCAGUGCAGGACAAAAAUGCAAAAUGCUCAGUCUCUGAAGAUUGCUUACGCGGCCGCACACCAAAAUAGUGCGGUCCGCGUUGGCCUGAGCAACUGUAAGUUAUGGCUCAAAUGACCCAGCGCGGUCCGCGUGACAUUACUGUGUUGUAGGAAGAUCAAAAAUGGCAUCUCUCUGACAAGUUCCCACGCGGCCGCGCACCAAAGCAGUGCGGUCCGCGUGGAAUGAUCAGCUAAUGUGAAGGAUGGAAAAUACAACGCGGUCCGCGUCCCUUUCUGUGUGGCCGCGCUGGUGGGUAGGUACUGGGUCCCAAGGCUUUGCUAUAAAUAGAGACAUUCGUCCUCAUUUGAACUUUUUCACAAAAUUUCCUCCUAAGCUCUAAUUUUCACUGUGCAUCAACAUCAUUUGCUCACAUAGUUGAAAUUCAUUCAUCACUGGUAACAAUUCUUGUUCAUAUCAUUCAUAGUCUAAUUUUUGUUUCUUUUAAUUGCUUUCUACUAGUAUAACUUCUUAUUUUCAUUUUUUCUUCUUAGUUUAACUGUUAGAUUAGAUGUUCGUGUGUUUUUGUUGAAUCAUAGGCGUGAGAUUGUGUUAAAAGUUAGAGUAGGGACACUUAGGACCAAAAACUGAACAAAAAUUGGACUUAAUUGAACAAAAUUUCGGCUCAGUUAAAUUAGCCCUACGCGGUCGCGCGACAUUUUUGCGCGGUCCGCAGCAUGACACUUGGCGUGUGAUGAUGCACCCUCUCAGCACGGUCCACGUGCAAUUUGUGUUCAGUCCGCUUAAGCCCAGUGCAACCGUGGUCCAAAACAAUGCGGAGCGUGUGAGAAAAGUUCAGCGAAGUAGCAUUUUGAGAACUUGAACUGAGCGGGCUGCGUACCAUUUUUGGGCGGUCCGCGUUGAAGCACGCGUCCACGGUCCAAAGCAGUGCAGACCAUGUCAGAUUAUUCAGAGAGGUGAAUGUGUGGAGUAUUUGAACUGCACAGACAGCGUACCAUUCUUGUACGGUCCGUGCCCCUCUAUAUGUGUCACUUUUUCUGCACUCUUUGCAUUCAAUUGAACUGUCUACUUCACCUUAUGAGCUUCUACUAAUAAUGCUAGACAUGUAUUCCUUGCAGACAAUGGUUCCAAAGAACAACAACCCGGGAGAGGUGGUUCCUCCCAAGGGGAGAAAAGUAAGAGAAUUGUGAAACUCACUCCCCAAACUUGGGAGAUGAUAAAGAAAACCCGUAAGAUAAUUC
RNAcentral lists this long non-coding RNA (3428 nucleotides) under Nicotiana benthamiana. RNAcentral's name for it is "long non-coding RNA (NBEN_LNC004164)". Lineage: Eukaryota; Viridiplantae; Streptophyta; Magnoliopsida; Solanales; Solanaceae. The record is from RNAcentral.